CCUACGGGGGCUGCAGUGGGGAAUAUUGGACAAUGGGCGAAAGCCUGAUCCAGCCAUGCCGCGUGUGUGAAGAAGGCCUUCGGGUUGUAAAGCACUUUCAGUGGGGAAGAAAGCCUUGGGGCUAAUACCCUCGAGGAAGGACAUCACCCACAGAAGAAGCACCGGCUAACUCCGUGCCAGCAGCCGCGGUAAUACGGAGGGUGCGAGCGUUAAUCGGAAUUACUGGGCGUAAAGCGCGCGUAGGCGGUCUGAUAAGCCGGUUGUGAAAGCCCCGGGCUCAACCUGGGAACGGCAUCCGGAACUGUCAGGCUAGAGUGCAGGAGAGGAAGGUAGAAUUCCCGGUGUAGCGGUGAAAUGCGUAGAGAUCGGGAGGAAUACCAGUGGCGAAGGCGGCCUUCUGGACUGACACUGACGCUGAGGUGCGAAAGCGUGGGUAGCAAACAGGAUUAGAUACCCCGUAGUC
Molecule: ribosomal RNA, 463 nt
Filed under: Vreelandella stevensii
Lineage: Bacteria; Pseudomonadati; Pseudomonadota; Gammaproteobacteria; Oceanospirillales; Halomonadaceae
Description: partial 16S ribosomal RNA
Rfam family: Bacterial small subunit ribosomal RNA
Source: RNAcentral